RNAcentral lists this ribosomal RNA (206 nucleotides) under uncultured bacterium. Its description in RNAcentral is "partial 16S ribosomal RNA". It matches the Rfam family "Bacterial small subunit ribosomal RNA", at positions 568 to 774 of the family's 1533-position model. The record is from RNAcentral.
CACGUAGGCGGAUUGCUAAGUCAGGGGUGAAAUCCUGGAGCUUAACUCCAGAACUGCCUUUGAUACUGGCGACCUUGAGUCCGAGAGAGGUGAGUGGAACUGCGAGUGUAGAGGUGAAAUUCGUAGAUAUUCGCAAGAACACCAGUGGCGAAGGCGGCUCACUGGCCCGGUACUGACGCUGAGGUGCGAAAGCGUGGGAGCAAACA